GUUGUUGUUUUACAACAACACUUCAGACAGCAAGGACAAUGAGAACCUAGACAAGGAUCCGACAAGGAAACACAGACACAGUCAUGAGGUAAUGGAAGGUUUGCAAAUGUGCUGUGACACGCCGGGUGUGAUUACUGCGCCGCCAUGAACUUCCUGAAAACUACGCUUCCUCCUCUAUCCUGCCCUCCACACACAAGUCAAAUGACUGCUGUCUCUAAAUGGCAUUUAGAUUCAUAAAGAUCCAGGAGGAAAACAGAUACUGCAGGAUGACAGUAAGAUGGAACUCGUGCAUGGACAGAGAGAACAUACAAGCUUCACAGGACGACUCAGUUGGGCAUUACAGGCCUUAACCUUAUUGCUGGAAGGUAACUGUGCAAACAGCAGCACCACUGUGCCGCCCCCAAACUCCAUCUGAUGCUGAUAAUCACUUUCAGUCUGAGAUCAAUCGAUUUCAACAGGCUGUCAAGCUUUCUUUUUUUUCCAUUUCUCUGAGGAAAUGUUUCAUUUUGCAGCUUGGCAUAUUUCCCAGCUUUGCAACACCUGACCUUUUUACCAGAGAUUGAAGCAACAACCUGCAGAGACAGCUUUCUGUUUGUCCACAAAUGGCAACCUCAUCUAAUAAAAAAGACAACUCUCU
Molecule: long non-coding RNA, 637 nt
Organism: Gambusia affinis (western mosquitofish)
Lineage: Eukaryota; Metazoa; Chordata; Actinopteri; Cyprinodontiformes; Poeciliidae
Exons: 3
Source: RefSeq, a predicted model, not a curated record